Molecule: ribosomal RNA, 253 nt
Filed under: uncultured bacterium
Lineage: Bacteria
Description: partial 16S ribosomal RNA
Rfam family: Bacterial small subunit ribosomal RNA
Source: RNAcentral
UACAGAGGGUGCGAGCGUUAAUCGGAAUUACUGGGCGUAAAGCGCACGUAGGUGGCGACGUAAGUCGGGUGUGAAAGCCCCGGGCUCAACCUGGGAAUUGCAUUCGAGACUGCAUUGCUGGAGUACGGAAGAGGAGGGCGGAAUUCCCGGUUUAGCGGUGAAAUGCGUAGAUAUCGGGAUGAACAUCAGUGGCGAAGGCGGCCCUCUGGUCCAGUACUGACACUCAAUUGCGAAAGCGUGGGGAGCAAACAGG